RNAcentral lists this microRNA precursor (56 nucleotides) under Ciona intestinalis (vase tunicate). RNAcentral describes it as "microRNA cin-mir-4095 precursor". The record is from miRBase by way of RNAcentral. Lineage: Eukaryota; Metazoa; Chordata; Ascidiacea; Phlebobranchia; Cionidae.
CUUCCCUGGGGGUGCUGGUAGCUUGGUACAAUCUGCUAUCACCACACCCGGGCAAA